GUGUCAGCCGCCGCGGUAAUACGUAGGGGGCGAGCGUUGUCCGAAGUUACUGGGCGUAAAGCGCGCGUAGGCGGUUUCUUAAGUCUGGGGUGAAAGGUUCAACGCUCAACGUGAACAGUGCCUUGGAUACUGGGAGACUUGAGUUAGGGAGAGGGUAGUGGAAUUCCUGGUGUAGCGGUGAAAUGCGUAGAUAUCAGGAGGAACACCAAUGGCGAAGGCAGCUACCUGGCCUAUAACUGACGCUGAGGUGCGAAAGCGUGGGGAGCAAACGGGAUUAGAAACCCCCGUAGUCC
This 293-nucleotide ribosomal RNA is filed under the name uncultured bacterium. RNAcentral's name for it is "partial 16S ribosomal RNA". It matches the Rfam family "Bacterial small subunit ribosomal RNA", at positions 505 to 796 of the family's 1533-position model. The record is from RNAcentral.